Molecule: ribosomal RNA, 460 nt
Filed under: uncultured bacterium
Lineage: Bacteria
Description: partial 16S ribosomal RNA
Rfam family: Bacterial small subunit ribosomal RNA
Source: RNAcentral
CCUACGGGUGGCAGCAGUGAGGAAUAUUGGUCAAUGGACGAGAGUCUGAACCAGCCAAGUAGCGUGAAGGAUGACUGCCCUAUGGGUUGUAAACUUCUUUUAUAUGGGAAUAAAAUGUUCCACGUGUGGGAUUUUGUAUGUACCAUAUGAAUAAGGAUCGGCUAACUCCGUGCCAGCAGCCGCGGUACUACGGAGGAUCCGAGCGUUAUCCGGAUUUAUUGGGUUUAAAGGGAGCGUAGGUGGAUUGUUAAGUCAGUUGUGAAAGUUUGCGGCGCAACCGUAAAAUUGCAGUUGAAACUGGCAGUCUUGAGUACAGUAGAGGUGGGCGGAAUUCGUGGUGUAGCGGUGAAAUGCUUAGAUAUCACGAAGAACUCCGAUUGCGAAGGCAGUUCACUGGACUGCAACUGACACUGAGGCUCGAAAGUGUGGGUAUCAAACAGGAUUAGAUACCCGGGUAGUC